This 511-nucleotide ribosomal RNA is filed under the name uncultured Paraglomus. RNAcentral describes it as "SSU rRNA". It matches the Rfam family "Eukaryotic small subunit ribosomal RNA", at positions 569 to 1085 of the family's 1831-position model. The record is from RNAcentral. Lineage: Eukaryota; Fungi; Glomeromycota; Glomeromycetes; Paraglomerales; Paraglomeraceae.
AGCAGCCGCGGUAAUUCCAGCUCCAAUAGCGUAUAUUAAAGUUGUUGCAGUUAAAAAGCUCGUAGUUGAAUUUCAGGCCUGGCUGGGCGGUCCGCCUUUUGGGUGAGUACUGCCUGUGGUCGGGUCCUACCUUCUGGCGAAGCGUCAUGGCCUUAACCGGCCGUGGCGGGGAACCAGGACUUUUACUGUGAAAAAUUAGAGUGUUCAAAGCAGGCAGUCGCUUGGAUACAUUAGCAUGGAAUAAUGGAAUAGGACAGUGGUUCUAUUUGUUGGUUUCUAGGACCGUUGUAAUGAUUAAUAGGGAUAGUUGGGGGCAUUAGUAUUCAAUUGUCAGAGGUGAAAUUCUUGGAUUUAUUGAAGACUAACUACUGCGAAAGCAUUUGCCAAGGAUGUUUUCAUUAAUCAAGAACGAAAGUUAGGGGAUCGAAGACGAUCAGAUACCGUCGUAGUCUUAACCAUAAACUAUGCCGACUAGGAAUCGGGCGAUGUUGACAAAAUGACGCGCUCGGCA